RNAcentral lists this long non-coding RNA (727 nucleotides) under Chinchilla lanigera (long-tailed chinchilla). RNAcentral's name for it is "lncRNA (ENSCLAG00000025805.1)". The record is from RNAcentral. Lineage: Eukaryota; Metazoa; Chordata; Mammalia; Rodentia; Chinchillidae.
CUCAAAUUCUUUUAUGUUUUCUUAUUCUAACUGUAUGGACUUGGGCACAGUCAUUUACAAUCCAGGAGCCUCAGAUUUUCCAUCUGGAAAAGAAGAAAGAUUUCUACCUCAUUUUGAAUACUGGUAUUAAAUGAGUUCACUGUGUAGAAGAUGACUCAUGCAAAGUAACAUCUCAUCUGUUCCCCUACUGAUUAACUUCCAACCUUAAAAGUCGCUUACUCUGGAUGGAUUUCCUCCAAAAUCCGGCAACAACAACAUGCAGUAGGAAUACUUGUAUUUUUCUCCUAGGAUCUUCCAGGCUUACAGGAUGAGACUUCUGGAAAAUAGAGCCUGGAAAGGCUAACAGACUGUUGGAGAGCAGGGCAGACAACUAUCCAUACUCUUCUGGUUCCUGUUUUGAAGUGUUACCCUGGUCUCUGUAAUGCCAGUUGGAAUUCAUGGUUCAAGCAUCUUUACUGACUGCAAAUGGACUCUCCGCAUGCUGUGUAUGGAAUAUGUGUGUUUCUCCUUACCUCCAAGUGCGUUGGGAGGUGAUCACAUCAUAAGACUGGAGCCUUCAUGAGCAGGAUUUGUGCUUUUCUGCUUCUGUGAUUUUUCGCCCCAAUCCAUAACAUAAGUUUACAGAAGGAAGAAAGUCAUCAGUGAGAAAGCAGACCUUCAGCAGACACCAUAGACUCUGAAAUUGUGAGAAAUAAAUUUCUGUCAUUUGUAAAACUCUCAGCAUAUG